CAGUCGCCGCGGGAAUACGAAGGGUGCAAGCGUUAAUCGGAAUUACUGGGCGUAAAGCGUGCGUAGGCGGUGAGUUAAGUCUGCUGUGAAAUCCCCGGGCUCAACCUGGGAAUGGCAGUGGAUACUGGCUCGCUAGAGUGUGUCAGAGGAUGGUGGAAUUCCCGGUGUAACGGUGAAAUGCGUAGAGAUCGGGAGGAACAUCAGUGGCGAAGGCGGCCAUCUGGGACAACACUGACGCUGAGGCACGAAAGCGUGGGGAGCAAGCAGGAUUAGAUACCCGAGUAGUCCCUGUCUCUUAUAC
RNAcentral lists this ribosomal RNA (301 nucleotides) under uncultured bacterium. Its description in RNAcentral is "partial 16S ribosomal RNA". It matches the Rfam family "Bacterial small subunit ribosomal RNA", at positions 509 to 807 of the family's 1533-position model. The record is from RNAcentral.